AGAGAAUAGAUACCCGGGUAGUCCCAGCUGUAAACGAUGCAGACUCGGUGAUGAAUUGGCUUAUUGCUAAAAUUCAGUGCCGCAGGGAAGCCGUUAAGUUUGCCGCCUGGGGAGUACGGUCGCGAGACUGAAACUUAAAAGGAAUUGGCGGGGGAGCACCACAAGGGGUGAAGCCUGCGGUUCAAUUGGAGUCAACGCCGGAAAUCUUACCGGGGGCGACAGCAGAGUGAAGGUCAAGCUGAAGACUUUACCAGACAAGCUGAGAGGAGGUGCAUGGCCGUCGCCAGCUCGUGCCGUGAGGUGUCCUGUUAAGUCAGGUAACGAGCGAGAUCCCUGCCUCUAGUUGCUACCACUAUUCUCAGGAGUAGUGGAGCUAAUUAGAGGGACCGCCGUCGCUGAGACGGAGGAAGGUGGGGGCUACGGCAGGUCAGUAUG
This 435-nucleotide ribosomal RNA is filed under the name uncultured bacterium. Its description in RNAcentral is "bacterial SSU rRNA". It matches the Rfam family "Archaeal small subunit ribosomal RNA", at positions 724 to 1153 of the family's 1478-position model. The record is from RNAcentral.